GCAGAAUCUACGGCAGACAUUUCAGUUGUCCGUUCCAGCUAAGCAGCUUUAAGGAGUUGAAUAAUUGCUUUGCAGAGUCAAGAGGAAGCUGUGGAAGGGAAGACAGAAAGAAUGAACGACUAAAACGGAACAAGCGCCAGAGUGGGUGAGGAGAGUUGGUUUACACUGCAAUCAGCAUUAAGGAAAUUGGUUUGCACUUGCGCUGCAAGUGGAGAGAGGUGAUUGAUGCUAAGCUAGGCUAGCAGGAAGGAAGUGGAGAAAUUAGCGGCAGGCAAGGGCACCGAGAGCUGUCAACUACUUCCUGGUCCAUCUGGGGUGUGAAGUAUGCGUCCACUGCCAGCCCUCGUGCACCACUUGUGCUGGUUGUUCACAGUGACUCCCUGGCUUGAUUUAUCUGAUGGAAGGAAAUCUGCACAGAGCUCCGGUGGUAUCCCUAUACUGUAACCUUUCCCCCCGCCAGAUGUUCCUCUCUCAAAACACGUUGGUGCCGCCGAUAACGCCGGUCCCCCUGGAGGAGGAGGCGACUCCUCUUUUCAUUCGCACUCCAGCGUAUUAAUUGCUUUUUAAUGUUUCCCUUCUCUGCUGAAAGUUGUUUUGCGUACUAACAAAUCAACAAUAAUAAGGUUCUUUCGGGCUGUUUGCAGGCCAGAGCCAAGACUAAAAGGGUACAGUCACUGAAUAAUCCAUGCAUUGGAAUGAAGGAUUCGAGCUGGUAACAGAAGAGUUGUAACAGGAGGCCAUUUGGCUUUCUUUCUGCUUCGUCCCAAGUGUCCUCCGCUGCCAGCUGUGCGAAUGUCGCAGAAUGGGACUUUGUGGGAGCGAGACUGGGAAGACGUAAUACUGAAGCAACUAAUACAUCUAACUCAAUGAAGCAUUGUGACAUGCCGCUUCCCCCUUGAGCCACAACUUUGGGCAAAAUUUGAGUUUUUAGCAUUUAUAAUUUAUCCACACAGCUCCGUAUCCCAUGCCUUAGUGCCUCUGCGAAAUAGAUAUGAUGUUAAUCAUUACAAUUUCGAAAAUUAGGAAGGGGAAAUUACAAUAGCUCCUUUUUAUCAACUCACACUGUGACAUGUUUUUAUUGUAGGCUGAAACAUUUUCAGACAAAAGGUUUCAGCCACAUAGAUAUUUUAAUCACUUGGGAUUGGUUUUGCCUCAUCAUUUUUGAUAAUAGCAAGAGCUCUCCUCAUGCAGCAUGAGGGGGACUGUCGGAUUGGUAUAAGAAGUAACAAAUUACGUGAUUAAUUUGUUGCAGGCUUUAGCAGCCCUUUGACGUCUCUGCUCAGUAGCCUACAGCAGAAACAAGAGCUCUCACUGCUUAAGCUGUUAACCUACAACUUGCCGCUGCCCGCAACAUGAUUCCUACUCGUAACACACAAGGGAAGGACAAGCAAGGUAAUAAGACGUAUUUAUAAUUUUGUAAAAAGAAAGAGCUCAUAACUGAACCACAUGGUCAGCAGACUUAAUUAAACCAUUGAAAUAACACAUUUAGCGCUGUCUGUGAUUUGUUUAGGAUAUCUGGUUUAUUCUUCUACAACAUAUGGUCCCAAGAUACGGCGGUUCUUUUUUUUAUUGAUAUUCUUUCGAAAAUAGCAACUCACAAUAGUCAGAAAAGUUACUAUUAUACAAUUAAACAAUGACAUUGAGACCAUUAGGCAAUGUCUUGGUUCUUUUAUAUGCAUGUUGGACUUCUAUACUUCUUCAUACUUCAUCUUCCAACAUAUCUUUAAGCCUAGAAAAUAAAAGUACAGUUUGCUUGGAAAGAACAAGUUUUCAAAUGCGCGGCCAGGCAGCAACAGUGCAUUGAGUGAGGAACGCACAGGGUGCAGGGGGGGGUCAUCAGCGAGUGUUUGGAGCUUGAGUUACAGGGCCAGCAUCUGCCAUCCGGCCAUCAGGCCCUCAUAUCCAUCACUGGCCGAUGGCGUGGUGCAGCCCGGCGUUUAUAAAAACACCCAGAGGAAAUGGAGUCUCUGGGCCAGACAAGAAUAAAAUUAGCUUGAUGACUAAGUUCCUCCUCAGGUCCCGGCGGGAAUAGAACUCUGCCAUUUGUUUUCAUUACUUCCC
This is a long non-coding RNA of Gasterosteus aculeatus aculeatus (three-spined stickleback), 2061 nucleotides long. Lineage: Eukaryota; Metazoa; Chordata; Actinopteri; Perciformes; Gasterosteidae. The record is from Ensembl.